Molecule: ribosomal RNA, 542 nt
Filed under: uncultured archaeon
Lineage: Archaea
Description: bacterial SSU rRNA
Rfam family: Archaeal small subunit ribosomal RNA
Source: RNAcentral
GUCAGCAGCCGCGGUAAUACCGGCGGCUCGAGUGGUGGCCACUUUAUUGGGCUUAAAGCGUUCGUAGCUGGGUCGUUAAGUCUCUUGGGAAAUCCGGCAGCUUAACUGUCGGGCGUCUAAGGGAUACUGGCGAUCUUGGAACCGGGAGAGGUGAGGGGUACUUCGGGGGUAGGAGUGAAAUCCUGUAAUCCUCGAGGGACCACCUGUGGCGAAGGCGCCUCACCAGAACGGCUUCGACAGUGAGGGACGAAAGCUGGGGGAGCAAACCGGAUUAGAUACCCGGGUAGUCCCAGCCGUAAACGAUGUGCGUUAGGUGUAUCGACGACCACGAGUCGUCGAGGUGCCGAAGGGAAACCGUGAAACGUACCGCCUGGGAAGUACGGUCGCAAGGCUGAAACUUAAAGGAAUUGGCGGGGGAGCACCACAACAGGUGGAGCCUGCGGUUUUAAAUUGGACUCAACGCCGGGAAGCUCACCGGAUAAGACAGCUGAAUGAUUGCCGGGCUGAAGACUCUGCAUGACUAGCUGAGAGGAGGUGCAUGG